UACGGAGGAUGCGAGCGUUGUCCGGAUUUACUGGGCGUGAAGGGGGCGCAGGCGGCGCGCCAAGCCCGAUGUGAAAGCCCGGGGCUCAACCCCGGGACUGCAUUGGGAACUGGCGUGCUGGAGUGCCGGAGGGGCAGGCGGAAUUCCUGGUGUAGCGGUGAAAUGCGUAGAUAUCAGGAGGAACACCGGUGGCGAAGGCGGCCUGCUGGACGGAUACUGACGCUGAGGCCCGAAAGCGUGGGGAGCGAACAGG
This 253-nucleotide ribosomal RNA is filed under the name uncultured bacterium. RNAcentral's name for it is "partial 16S ribosomal RNA". It matches the Rfam family "Bacterial small subunit ribosomal RNA", at positions 524 to 776 of the family's 1533-position model. The record is from RNAcentral.